GACGAACGCUGGCGGCGUGCUUAACACAUGCAAGUCGAACGGAAAGGCCCUGCUUUUGUGGGGUGCUCGAGUGGCGAACGGGUGAGUAACACGUGAGUAACCUGCCCUUGACUUUGGGAUAACUUCAGGAAACUGGGUCUAAUACCGGAUAGGAGCUCCUGCUGCAUGGUGGGGGUUGGAAAGUUUCGGCGGUUGGGGAUGGACUCGCGGCUUAUCAGCUUGUUGGUGGGGUAGUGGCUUACCAAGGCUUUGACGGGUAGCCGGCCUGAGAGGGUGACCGGCCAAAUUGGGACUGAGAUACGGCACAGACUACUACGGGAGGCAGCAGUGGGGAAGAUUGCACAAUGGGCGGAAGCCUGAUGCAGCAACGCCGCGUGCGGGAUGACGGCCUUCGGGUUGUAAACCGCUUUCGCCUGUGACGAAGCGUGAGUGACGGUAAUGGGUAAAGAAGCACCGGCUAACUACGUG
This 468-nucleotide ribosomal RNA is filed under the name uncultured bacterium. RNAcentral describes it as "partial 16S ribosomal RNA". It matches the Rfam family "Bacterial small subunit ribosomal RNA", at positions 28 to 507 of the family's 1533-position model. The record is from RNAcentral.